UACGUAGGGUGCAAGCGUUGUCCGGAAUUAUUGGGCGUAAAGAGCUCGUAGGCGGUUUGUCACGUCGGCUGUGAAAACCCGAGGCCCAACCUCGGUCCUGCAGUUGAUACGGGCAAACUAGAGUGUUGCAGGGGAGACUGGAAUUCCUGGUGUAGCGGUGAAAUGCGCAGAUAUCAGGAGGAACACCGGUGGCGAAGGCGGGUCUCUGGGCAACAACUGACGCUGAGGAGCGAAAGCGUGGGGAGCGAACAGG
RNAcentral lists this ribosomal RNA (253 nucleotides) under uncultured bacterium. RNAcentral's name for it is "partial 16S ribosomal RNA". It matches the Rfam family "Bacterial small subunit ribosomal RNA", at positions 524 to 776 of the family's 1533-position model. The record is from RNAcentral.